CGCGUAGGUGGCCCGUUAAGUGGCUGGUGAAAUCCCGGGGCUCAACUCCGGGGCUGCCGGUCAGACUGGCGAGCUAGAGCACGGUAGGGGCAGAUGGAAUUCCCGGUGUAGCGGUGGAAUGCGUAGAGAUCGGGAAGAAUACCAGUGGCGAAGGCGUUCUGCUGGGCCGUUGCUGACACUGAGGCGCGACAGCGUGGGGAGCAAACA
Molecule: ribosomal RNA, 207 nt
Filed under: uncultured bacterium
Lineage: Bacteria
Description: partial 16S ribosomal RNA
Rfam family: Bacterial small subunit ribosomal RNA
Source: RNAcentral